This 615-nucleotide long non-coding RNA is filed under the name Bos taurus (domestic cattle). RNAcentral's name for it is "long non-coding RNA NONBTAT008158". The record is from RNAcentral. Lineage: Eukaryota; Metazoa; Chordata; Mammalia; Artiodactyla; Bovidae.
UCAGAUACAAAAUCCUUUUCUUGGAAUAUAUAUACAUGCUCCAUUUUGUUCCAGAUGGUAGUUACCUCUCUUAUUUAUUAGCCAUGCUAAUUAUAAGAUGUUAAUCUAACUAAAUAUGACAACUUAGCAAUUGCCUGAAUUUCUGAGUCUUACUGUAACAUUCAUUUUAGAUUGGAAAGCUGUUUGUAUUUUAAAAUUUCUGUUCCAUAUUACAUUAUUUUGGAUCAGCUAUCUACAUUUUCUAGAUGCCCUUUGUCUAAUCAAAAUUGUUUUGAACAGAAAACUAUUGCUAGUCUCUGGCUUGGCAAAGCAGUGCUUUGUCUGCUCCAGUCCACUGGUUUUUCCAGUAGCCAGAGUAACUGACUUGUCUAUUUCAUGUAUUUCUCUCAUCCCUUGAAGUAAUGCUGCUCUCCUCUCAAAUUUUUUCUCUUCUUUACUUUUGGCAUUUGAAAAUAUUUUUAGGGUAUAUUAGUGGUGUCUUAAGAGCAGAAGCAAGAAAAUGGUAGUGUCAUAAAAGCCACCAGAAGCACAAGGGAAAAUCUUAAAACUUCCAUUAAAAAAGGUCAUUGGAAAUUAUUAUGUGUUUCAGUGUAUAACAAAUUGAGAACUUGCCUC